Molecule: ribosomal RNA, 256 nt
Filed under: uncultured bacterium
Lineage: Bacteria
Description: partial 16S ribosomal RNA
Rfam family: Bacterial small subunit ribosomal RNA
Source: RNAcentral
UACGUAGGCAGCAAGCGUUGUUCGGAAUUACUGGGCGUAAAGAGUGUGUAGGCGGUGCUCUAAGUUUGGUGUGAAAUCUCCCGGCUCAACCGGGAGGCUGCAUCGAAUACUGGAAUGCUAGAGGGUGGGAGAGGUAAAGCGGAAUUCCUGGUGUAGCGGUGAAAUGCGUAGAUAUCAGGAGGAACACCUGUGGUGUAGACAGCUUACUGGACCACUUCUGACGCUGGAGAACACGAAAGCGUGGGUAGCAAACAGG